GGCGGCGCGGUGUACCCUGGGAUAGGGAGCGAUCUCCGAGCGAGGCGGCAAGAUGGACGCGGGAUUUUUCCGCGGAACAAGUGCAGAACAGGAUAAUCGGUUCAGCAACAAACAGAAGAAACUACUGAAGCAGCUGAAAUUUGCAGAAUGCCUAGAAAAAAAGGUGGACAUGAGCAAAGUAAAUUUGGAGGUUAUAAAGCCUUGGAUAACAAAAAGAGUAACGGAAAUCCUUGGGUUUGAAGAUGAUGUUGUGAUUGAGUUUAUAUUCAACCAGCUGGAAGUGAAGAAUCCAGACUCCAAAAUGAUGCAAAUCAACCUGACUGGAUUUUUGAAUGGAAAAAAUGCUCGAGAAUUUAUGGGAGAACUGUGGCCCCUGCUGCUAAGUGCACAAGAAAACAUCGCGGGAAUCCCUUCUGCUUUCCUAGAACUGAAGAAAGAAGAAAUAAAACAAAGACAGAUUGAACAAGAAAAAUUGGCAUCUAUGAAAAAGCAAGAUGAAGACAAAGAUAAAAGAGAUAAGGAAGAAAAAGAAAGCAGCAGAGAAAAAAGGGAGAGGUCUCGUAGCCCAAGAAGAACCAAGAGCCGGAGUCCUUCCCCUGCUCCAGAAAAGAAGGAAAAAACUCCAGAGCUCCCAGAACCUUCAGUGAAAGUAAAAGAACCUUCAGUACAAGAGGCUACUUCUACUAGUGACAUUCUGAAAGUUCCCAAACCUGAACCUAUACCGGAGCCUAAAGAACCUUCUCCAGAAAAAAAUUCCAAAAAAGAAAA
RNAcentral lists this small RNA (768 nucleotides) under Pongo abelii (Sumatran orangutan). Its description in RNAcentral is "processed transcript". The record is from RNAcentral. Lineage: Eukaryota; Metazoa; Chordata; Mammalia; Primates; Hominidae.